CCUACGGGGGGCAGCAGUGGGGAAUAUUGCACAAUGGGGGGAACCCUGAUGCAGCAACGCCGCGUGGGUGAAGAAGUAUUUCGGUAUGUAAAGCCCUAUCAGCAGGGAAGAAGAUGACGGUACCUGACUAAGAAGCCCCGGCUAAAUACGUGCCAGCAGCCGCGGUAAUACGUAUGGGGCAAGCGUUAUCCGGAUUUACUGGGUGUAAAGGGAGCGCAGGCGGCGCGGCAAGUCAGAUGUGAAAGCCCGGGGCUCAACCCCGGGACUGCAUUUGAAACUGCCGUGCUGGAGUGUCGGAGAGGCAAGUGGAAUUCCUAGUGUAGCGGUGAAAUGCGUAGAUAUUAGGAGGAACACCAGUGGCGAAGGCGGCUUGCUGGACGAUAACUGACGCUGAGGCUCGAAAGCGUGGGGAGCAAACAGGAUUAGAUACCC
Molecule: ribosomal RNA, 432 nt
Filed under: uncultured bacterium
Lineage: Bacteria
Description: bacterial SSU rRNA
Rfam family: Bacterial small subunit ribosomal RNA
Source: RNAcentral